Molecule: ribosomal RNA, 496 nt
Filed under: uncultured bacterium
Lineage: Bacteria
Description: partial 16S ribosomal RNA
Rfam family: Bacterial small subunit ribosomal RNA
Source: RNAcentral
AUGCACGCUGGCGGCGUGCCUAAUACAUGCCAGUCGAGCGAACAGACGAGGAGCUUGCUCCUCUGACGUUAGCGGCGGACGGGUGAGUAACACGUGGAUAACCUACCUAUAAGACUGGGAUAACUUCGGGAAACCGGAGCUAAUACCGGAUAAUAUAUUGAACCGCAUGGUUCAAUAGUGAAAGACGGUUUUGCUGUCACUUAUAGAUGGAUCCGCGCCGCAUUAGCUAGUUGGUAAGGUAACGGCUUACCAAGGCGACGAUGCGUAGCCGACCUGGGAGGGUGAUCGGCCACACUGGAACUGAGACACGGUCCAGACUCCUACGGGAGGCAGCAGUAGGGAAUCUUCCGCAAUGGGCGAAAGCCUGACGGAGCAACGCCGCGUGAGUGAUGAAGGUCUUCGGAUCGUAAAACUCUGUUAUUAGGGAAGAACAAAUGUGUAAGUAACUAUGCACGUCUUGACGGUACCUAAUCAGAAAGCCACGGCUAACUACGUG